GGGAUACCCGCUGAACUUAAGCAUAUCAAUAAGCGGAGGAAAAGAAACCAACAGGGAUUACCUCAGUAACGGCGAGUGAAGCGGUAACAGCUCAAAUUUGAAAUCUGGCUCCUCGGGGCCCGAAUUGUAAUUUGUAGAAGAUGCUUUGGGUCUGGGCCUGGCCUAAGUUCCUUGGAACAGGACGUCGUAGAGGGUGAGAAUCCCGUAUGCGGCUGGCGCCCGUGCCCGUGUAAAGCUCUUUCAACGAGUCGAGUUGUUUGGGAAUGCAGCUCUAAAUGGGUGGUAAAUUUCAUCUAAAGCUAAAUAUUGGCCAGAGACCGAUAGCGCACAAGUAGAGUGAUCGAAAGAUGAAAAGCACUUUGGAAAGAGAGUUAAACAGUACGUGAAAUUGUUGAAAGGGAAGCGCUGGCAACCAGACUUGGGCGCUGUUGAUCCGCUAGGGUUCUCUCUAGGGCACUCGGCAGUGCGCAGGCCAGCAUCGGUUUGGGGGGUUGGAGAAUGGCUGGUGGAAUGUGGCUGUCUUUGGGCAGUGUUAUAGCCACCGGUGGCAUGCAGCCUCCCCGGACCGAGGACCGCGC
This 578-nucleotide ribosomal RNA is filed under the name Oidium sp. pmpbb02. RNAcentral describes it as "partial 28S ribosomal RNA". It matches the Rfam family "Eukaryotic large subunit ribosomal RNA", at positions 19 to 600 of the family's 3401-position model. The record is from RNAcentral. Lineage: Eukaryota; Fungi; Ascomycota; Leotiomycetes; Helotiales; Erysiphaceae.